GACGAACGCUGGCGGCGUGCCUAAUACAUGCAAGUCGAGCGAGUCUGCCUUGAAGAUCGGAGUGCUUGCACUCUGUGAAACAAGAUACAGGCUAGCGGCGGACGGGUGAGUAACACGUGGAUAACCUACCUAUAAGACUGGGAUAACUUCGGGAAACCGGAGCUAAUACCGGAUAAUAUAUUGAACCGCAUGGUUCAAUAGUGAAAGACGGUUUUGCUGUCACUUAUAGAUGGAUCCGCGCCGCAUUAGCUAGUUGGUAAGGUAACGGCUUACCAAGGCAACGAUGCGUAGCCGCCCUGAGAGGGUGAUCGGCCACCCUGGAACUGAGACACGGUCCAGACUCCUACGGGAGGCAGCAGUAGGGAAUCUUCCGCAAUGGGCGAAAGCCUGACGGAGCAACGCCGCGUGAGUGAUGAAGGUCUGCGGAUCGUAAAACUUUUUUUUUAGGGAAGAACAAAUGUUUAAGUAACUAUGCACGUCUUGAGGGUACCUAAUCAAAAAGCCCCGGCUAACUACGU
Molecule: ribosomal RNA, 518 nt
Filed under: uncultured bacterium
Lineage: Bacteria
Description: partial 16S ribosomal RNA
Rfam family: Bacterial small subunit ribosomal RNA
Source: RNAcentral